Molecule: unclassified non-coding RNA, 194 nt
Filed under: rice phyllosphere bacterium L
Lineage: Bacteria
Description: 16S-23S intergenic spacer
Source: RNAcentral
CUAUGGAGAUUAUGAAACACCUUCGUGUGUUUCGUAAGUACGCCUAUUCUUCUUUUGUUCAGUUUUGAAGGAACUUAUGUUCUUUCAAGAUGUUCUUUGAAAACUAGAUAUCGACAUCCAAACAAUAUGCAAGGCAGAUAGAUUUAUCUAAUCUGCGCCAAGCAAGAAUCUUUGAUGUGCAAACAUCAUAUAAG